This 253-nucleotide ribosomal RNA is filed under the name uncultured bacterium. RNAcentral's name for it is "partial 16S ribosomal RNA". It matches the Rfam family "Bacterial small subunit ribosomal RNA", at positions 524 to 776 of the family's 1533-position model. The record is from RNAcentral.
UACGUAGGGUGCAAGCGUUAAUCGGAAUUACUGGGCGUAAAGCGCGCGCAGGCGGUCGAUCAAGUCGAGUGUGAAAGCCCCCGGCUCAACUGGGGAGGGUCAUUCGAUACUGAUCGACUCGAAGGCAGGAGAGGGUAGUGGAAUUCCCGGUGUAGUGGUGAAAUGCGUAGAUAUCGGGAGGAACACCAGUGGCGAAGGCGACUACCUGGCCUGUUCUUGACGCUGAGGCGCGAAAGCUAGGGGAGCAAACGGG